Molecule: ribosomal RNA, 747 nt
Filed under: uncultured bacterium
Lineage: Bacteria
Description: bacterial SSU rRNA
Rfam family: Bacterial small subunit ribosomal RNA
Source: RNAcentral
AUUGAACGCUGGCGGCAGGCCUAACACAUGCAAGUCGAGCGGUAGCACAGGAGAGCUUGCUCUCUGGGUGACGAGCGGCGGACGGGUGAGUAAUGUCUGGGAAACUGCCUGAUGGAGGGGGAUAACUACUGGAAACGGUAGCUAAUACCGCAUAACGUAGCAAGACCAAAGAGGGGGACCUUCGGGCCUCUUGCCAUCAGAUGUGCCCAGAUGGGAUUAGCUAGUAGGUGGGGUAAUGGCUCACCUAGGCGACGAUCCCUAGCUGGUAUGAGAGGAUGACCAGCCACACUGGAACUGAGACACGGUCCAGACUCCUACGGGAGGCAGCAGUGGGGAAUAUUGCACAAUGGGCGCAAGCCUGAUGCAGCCAUGCCGCGUGUAUGAAGAAGGCCUUCGGGUUGUAAAGUACUUUCAGCGAGGAGGAAGGCAUUGUGGUUAAUAACCACAGUGAUUGACGUUACUCGCAGAAGAAGCACCGGCUAACUCCGUGCCAGCAGCCGCGGUAAUACGGAGGGUGCAAGCGUUAAUCGGAAUUACUGGGCGUAAAGCGCACGCAGGCGGUCUGUCAAGUCGGAUGUGAAAUCCCCGGGCUCAACCUGGGAACUGCAUUCGAAACUGGCAGGCUAGAGUCUUGUAGAGGGGGGUAGAAUUCCAGGUGUAGCGGUGAAAUGCGUAGAGAUCUGGAGGAAUACCGGUGGCGAAGGCGGCCCCCUGGACAAAUGAUCUGACGCUCAGGUGCGAAAGCGU